UAAUACAAUUUUGUUGACCAAAGCAGGUGG
This 30-nucleotide non-coding RNA is filed under the name Homo sapiens (human). Lineage: Eukaryota; Metazoa; Chordata; Mammalia; Primates; Hominidae. The record is from RNAcentral.